ACCGGGAGAUAGCUGGUUCUCCCCGAAAGCUAUUUAGGUAGCGCCUCGUGAAUUCAUCUCCGGGGGUAGAGCACUGUUUCGGCAAGGGGGUCAUCCCGACUUACCAACCCGAUGCAAACUGCGAAUACCGGAGAAUGUUAUCACGGGAGACACACGGCGGGUGCUAACGUCCGUCGUGAAGAGGGAAACAACCCAGACCGCCAGCUAAGGUCCCAAAGUCAUGGUUAAGUGGGAAACGAUGUGGGAAGGCCCAGACAGCCAGGAUGUUGGCUUAGAAGCAGCCAUCAUUUAAAGAAAGCGUAAUAGCUCACUGGUCGAGUCGGCCUGCGCGGAAGAUGUAACGGGGCUAAACCAUGCACCGAAGCUGCGGCAGCGACACUAUGUGUUGUUGGGUAGGGGAGCGUUCUGUAAGCCUGUGAAGGUGGCCUGUGAGGGUUGCUGGAGGUAUCAGAAGUGCGAAUGCUGACAUAAGUAACGAUAAAGCGGGUGAAAAGCCCGCUCGCCGGAAGACCAAGGGUUCCUGUCCAACGUUAAUCGGGGCAGGGUGAGUCGACCCCUAAGGCGAGGCCGAAAGGCGUAGUCGAUGGGAAACAGGUUAAUAUUCCUGUACUUGGUGUUACUGCGAAGGGGGGACGGAGAAGGCUAUGUUGGCCGGGCGACGGUUGUCCCGGUUUAAGCGUGUAGGCUGGUUUUCCAGGCAAAUCCGGAAAACCAAGGCUGAGGCGUGAUGACGAGGCACUACGGUGCUGAAGCGACAAAUGCCCUGCUUCCAGGAAAAGCCUCUAAGCAUCAGGUAACAUCAAAUCGUACCCCAAACCGACACAGGUGGUCAGGUAGAGAAUACCAAGGCGCUUGAGAGAACUCGGGUGAAGGAACUAGGCAAAAUGGUGCCGUAACUUCGGGAGAAGGCACGCUGAUAUGUAGGUGAAGCGACUUGCUCGUGGAGCUGAAAUCAGUCGAAGAUACCAGCUGGCUGCAACUGUUUAUUAAAAACACAGCACUGUGCAAACACGAAAGUGGACGUAUACGGUGUGACGCCUGCCCGGUGCCGGAAGGUUAAUUGAUGGGGUUAGCGGUAACGCGAAGCUCUUGAUCGAAGCCCCGGUAAACGGCGGCCGUAACUAUAACGGUCCUAAGGUAGCGAAAUUCCUUGUCGGGUAAGUUCCGACCUGCACGAAUGGCGUAAUGAUGGCCAGGCUGUCUCCACCCGAGACUCAGUGAAAUUGAACUCGCUGUGAAGAUGCAGUGUACCCGCGGCAAGACGGAAAGACCCCGUGAACCUUUACUAUAGCUUGACACUGAACAUUGAGCCUUGAUGUGUAGGAUAGGUGGGAGGCUUUGAAGUGUGGACGCCAGUCUGCAUGGAGCCGACCUUGAAAUACCACCCUUUAAUGUUUGAUGUUCUAACGUUGGCCCGUAAUCCGGGUUGCGGACAGUGUCUGGUGGGUAGUUUGACUGGGGCGGUCUCCUCCUAAAGAGUAACGGAGGAGCACGAAGGUUGGCUAAUCCUGGUCGGACAUCAGGAGGUUAGUGCAAUGGCAUAAGCCAGCUUGACUGCGAGCGUGACGGCGCGAGCAGGUGCGAAAGCAGGUCAUAGUGAUCCGGUGGUUCUGAAUGGAAGGGCCAUCGCUCAACGGAUAAAAGGUACUCCGGGGAUAACAGGCUGAUACCGCCCAAGAGUUCAUAUCGACGGCGGUGUUUGGCACCUCGAUGUCGGCUCAUCACAUCCUGGGGCUGAAGUAGGUCCCAAGGGUAUGGCUGUUCGCCAUUUAAAGUGGUACGCGAGCUGGGUUUAGAACGUCGUGAGACAGUUCGGUCCCUAUCUGCCGUGGGCGCUGGAGAACUGAGGGGGGCUGCUCCUAGUACGAGAGGACCGGAGUGGACGCAUCACUGGUGUUCGGGUUGUCAUGCCAAUGGCACUGCCCGGUAGCUAAAUGCGGAAGAGAUAAGUGCUGAAAGCAUCUAAGCACGAAACUUGC
This 1979-nucleotide ribosomal RNA is filed under the name Escherichia coli. RNAcentral describes it as "partial 23S ribosomal RNA". It matches the Rfam family "Bacterial large subunit ribosomal RNA", at positions 837 to 2797 of the family's 2925-position model. Lineage: Bacteria; Pseudomonadati; Pseudomonadota; Gammaproteobacteria; Enterobacterales; Enterobacteriaceae. The record is from RNAcentral.